This 231-nucleotide ribosomal RNA is filed under the name uncultured bacterium. RNAcentral describes it as "partial 16S ribosomal RNA". It matches the Rfam family "Bacterial small subunit ribosomal RNA", at positions 118 to 346 of the family's 1533-position model. The record is from RNAcentral.
UGAGGAACAUGACCUUCGGCGGGGAUAGCCGGCCCAACGGCCGGUAAUACCGCGUACGACCACAUGGGGACAUCCCCGAGUGGUGAAAGCAGCAAUGCGCCGAUGGAGUGCCUCGCGGCCUAUCAGCUAGUUGGUGAGGUAACGGCUCACCAAGGCGACGACGGGUAGCUGGUCUGAGAGGAUGGCCAGCCCAACAGUUGGGACUGAGACACGGCCCAGCUCCGUAGGAGG